This 24-nucleotide transfer RNA is filed under the name Amphilophium paniculatum. Its description in RNAcentral is "partial tRNA-His". Lineage: Eukaryota; Viridiplantae; Streptophyta; Magnoliopsida; Lamiales; Bignoniaceae. The record is from RNAcentral.
GGCGGAUUAGCCAACUAUCGACGC